RNAcentral lists this unclassified non-coding RNA (1371 nucleotides) under uncultured Neocallimastigales. RNAcentral describes it as "partial contains small subunit ribosomal RNA, internal transcribed spacer 1, 5.8S ribosomal RNA, internal transcribed spacer 2, and large subunit ribosomal RNA". The stretch from base 614 to 1371 matches the Rfam family "Eukaryotic large subunit ribosomal RNA", at positions 1 to 610 of the family's 3401-position model. Lineage: Eukaryota; Fungi; Neocallimastigomycota; Neocallimastigomycetes; Neocallimastigales. The record is from RNAcentral.
UUUCCAUAGGUGAACCUGCGGAAGGAUCAUUAAAAAAUGUGGUACCAUUUGUUGGUACUAAUUAAUCAUCCUACCCUUUGUGAAUUUGUUUGUAUCGAAUUUUUUUAAAUGGGUCUUUCCCUAAGUUGGAUUGUAGUAAAAAUACAAAAAGACUUAGGGGAAUGACUUUUUUAAAAGACUUUUUUUUUUAAAUUAAAACUUUUUGUAUUCAUUUGUCUAAAAUUUAUUUUUAUAAUAUAAAAACAACUUUUGACAAUGGAUCUCUUGGUUCUCGCAACGAUGAAGAACGCAGCAAAAUGCGAUAAGUAGUGUGAAUUGCAGAAUACGUGAAUCAUCGAAUCUUCGAACGCAUAUUGCACUUUUUUAGUUUACUAAAAAAGUAUGUCUGUUUGAGUAUCAGUAAAAUAUUCUCACAAACAUGUAUUGUUUGUGGUUAUGAGUGUUUUACAACGAUAAACAAGUUGUUUCACUUUAAAUUCUUUUUAAUUGAAUUUUACCAAUUCAUAAAUUAAAAUUGGAUAAAAUUUUCCUUUAACCGAGGAGUAACCUAAACAAUUUUAAAUUUUAUGGAUUAAUAACAUUCAACAAAGGAAUCUAUUACACAUAAAUAACUUGAUCUCAAAUCAGAUAAGAGUACCCGCUGAGCUUAAGCAUAUCAAUAAGCGGAGGAAAAGAAACUAACAAGGAUUCCCUUAGUAACGGCGAGUGAAGCGGGAAGAGCUCAAAUUUGAAAUCUUCAAGGUUUGACCUUGACGAAUUGUAGUUUAUAGAAGUGUUUUCUGUUGGAGUUUUGGUAAAAGUUCUUUGGAAUAGGACAUCAUAGAGGGUGAGAAUCCCGUAUUUGACCAUGACUUUCCAGCUGUGUGAUACACUUUCAAAGAGUCGGAUUGUUUGGGAAUGCAGUCCAAAAUGGGUGGUAAAUUUCAUCUAAAGCUAAAUAUUGGCGAGAGACCGAUAGCGAACAAGUACCGUGAGGAAAGAUGAAAAGAACUUUGAAAAGAGAGUUAAACAGUACGUGAAAUUGUCAAAAGUGAAGCGUUUGACACCAGUGUUGUUUUCUCGAAAAUCAAUUUAAUGAGUUCUUGUUUUUAAGUUAUUGUGACUUUAUCAGCGCAUUUCUUAUUUUACUUGGCUCAUUGAAUGCACUUUUCGUUUAACAAGUCAACAUCAAUUUCUUUGGUGGUAAAAAGUUUAAAGGAAGGUGGCUUGGACUUCGGUUCAAGUGUUUAUAGCCUUUUUUCUAUGCCAUCGGAGAGAUUGAGGUCUGCAGCGUAGAUCCUUCGGGGUUAGAUACCUUUGUGCUAAGUUAUAGUUUUUUAUAGACAACUUGUUGACUAUAAUUAACCCUGUAAUUUACUCGCUUAGGUAUUU